ACGCUCGACACCUACGGCAGGCAGCAGUAGGGAAUCUUCCACAAUGGGCGCAAGCCUGAUGGAGCAACACCGCGUGAGUGAAGAAGGGUUUCGGCUCGUAAAGCUCUGUUGUUGGAGAAGAACGUGCGUGAGAGUAACUGUUCACGCAGUGACGGUAUCCAACCAGAAAGUCACGGCUAACUACGUGCCAGCAGCCGCGGUAAUCUGAGCGGGCUGGCAAGGC
This 223-nucleotide ribosomal RNA is filed under the name uncultured bacterium. RNAcentral describes it as "partial 16S ribosomal RNA". It matches the Rfam family "Bacterial small subunit ribosomal RNA", at positions 326 to 539 of the family's 1533-position model. The record is from RNAcentral.